Molecule: long non-coding RNA, 774 nt
Filed under: Homo sapiens (human)
Lineage: Eukaryota; Metazoa; Chordata; Mammalia; Primates; Hominidae
Description: non-protein coding lnc-ATP5MF-1:3
Source: RNAcentral
CACAGCGGACACCAGGACUCCAAAAUGGCGUCAGUUGGUGAGUGUCCGGCCCCAGCAGUGCUUUGAAAGCAUGAAGCAUACCCUGCACUCCCUGGCUCCCUGCAGGAUUCCAGCCUCCUGCCGGGCUCCCUGCACAGGACCAGAGCCAGCCUCACGCUGACCCACAGAGCUGCUUCCCGGGAAACCUGGAAGUGCAGACCUGAGCGGGGACCCUGGGGACUCCUUCCAGCAGGGAGCACAUCUCUGCCAGACUCCGUGCCAGCCCCACUGACUCCACCCGGGCUCCCGCUUCUCCACGCAGGCCACUCAGGACAGCUGAGGCCACGCAUUCUCUAAGCAGGGCUCAAGGCAAGUUUGUUGCUACCAGAAGACACAUCUGAGGCUGUUAUUUUGAAGGGCUAUUUAGGAUGGCUGAGAUGUCACCAGGAUCAUGGCUCCUGGAGAGAAGGAACCAGCUCGGGCCUGAGAGGCAAUGCCCACGCUGGAGGGAGAAGUGGGUUUCAGGGAGAAGGUGGACGUGGACAGAAACCAACCACGGACAUAAUGCAGCCAGCUGCACAACUCGCUGCUUCCGGGUCACCCUCGUUAGCCUCAAAUCCGAGUGAUUGAAAGAGCUCCAAACACUGAAGCACUCCAAAGUGAUGCGCGGGGCCAGGCGUGGUGGCUCACGCCUGUAAUCCCAGCACUUUGGGAGGCUGAGGCAGGCAGAUCACUCGAGCCCAGGAGUUCAAGACCAGUAUGUGAAACAUAGCGAGACCCUAUGUCUUUAAAAAA